RNAcentral lists this long non-coding RNA (1194 nucleotides) under Cricetulus griseus (Chinese hamster). RNAcentral's name for it is "lncRNA (ENSCGRG00015034153.1)". Lineage: Eukaryota; Metazoa; Chordata; Mammalia; Rodentia; Cricetidae. The record is from RNAcentral.
UCACUCGGGACGUGCUUCAAGCUCCCUUCUUCCAGGGGACCAGAGACCAGAGUGGGAGUGUACUGGACCUGUGUAACAGAGGAAUACCCUACCCUAGGAGGUUCACAUCUUUAUCUUUUGAGCCUGUGAAUAUUCUCACUGACAUGACAAAGAGCCCCUUUGGAUGGAUUAAGUUAAGUGCUUUGACAUGGAGAAGAACAUCUUGCAGGGACUAUUUCCUAGCUGUGAUCAGAUGGCAAUGAGACAAAGGAGAAAUGGGCAGAGGGAGGGAAUGGUGCUGGCUGUGAGGAUGGGGAAAGUUCCAGAGCCAGGAUCAGGGAUAGUCAGCUGUCAAAGGGUAGAGAAGGCUAAAUCAGAGAGUCUCCUGGAGCCUCCUAAAAGGAAUGUUGUCAUAGAAAUGCAAGACCUGUGUGACCUCUGACCCAAGAGAUAAUACAUUUGAAUUGUUUUUAGCCACCAGGUUUGUGGACAUUCACUGCAGAGGCAAUACAAGCUCAGCACAUUGCUCUAAGCUUCCUGAGAUGACCUCUGUCCACCAAGAGGGUGUUAAUCCCACAGGAGCAGAAGUUUCAAGACAUCAAAGGACUGAGACUAGCCAGAGACCUCCCUCCAUCUAAGACAGCUAAGCCAUGAGCUUUGCUGUCCUGGCUAAGGCUUCUGAGGGUACCCUGGGUGGCUCCUGCUGAACCUGAAUGAGUCUAGUCACUCAUCAGAAGCUCCUGGAGUUCCUGGCAGCCUCUGAAUGUCUACAAAAGGAUUAAUCAGCUGCAGAGAGCAGAUGCAGAUGCCAAAAGGACUCUUCACUAGCAUAGGACCAAAGACGUUCAAGGUUCGGCAUGGCCAAUGUACAUCUCAGUGGCUGGGUAUUGACUGUGUCAAUUUGCAGUGGACUAAGUGUCUUGGCAAGAGAAAUUGUCCUCCAGCUGGAACCUGAGGACUGGAGCAGAGGUCCUUUGUCAGGCGAUGUUCCUGAAUGAGACUCAUGGCAAGUGACCAGGUGAUGGGUCAACACAACUGACACAUCUCAUUCUUGAGGUGCUUCCUCUUUUAUGGUCCCAGUGGAGGAGAUUCCAUCAGAUGUGAUUCAUAAGCUCCUGCUUUUUAUCCUCCUACUUCUCCUAUGUGAUUUGGUUUAUUCCCAAGCAUCAAUAUUUACUGACAUGAGUAAAUCAUUUGUGUUUCUUAGUGUGCUGG